AGCGUAGGCGGCAUGAUAAGUUAGAUGUGAAAGCCCGGGGCUUAACCCCGAGGAUUGCAUUUAAAACUAUCAAGCUAGAGUACAGGAGAGGAAAGCGGAAUUCCUAGUGUAGCGGUGAAAUGCGUAGAUAUUAGGAAGAACACCAGUGGCGAAGGCGGCUUUCUGGACUGAAACUGACGCUGAGGCUCGAAAGCGUGGGGAGCGAACAG
This 209-nucleotide ribosomal RNA is filed under the name uncultured Clostridium sp. RNAcentral describes it as "partial 16S ribosomal RNA". It matches the Rfam family "Bacterial small subunit ribosomal RNA", at positions 568 to 775 of the family's 1533-position model. The record is from RNAcentral. Lineage: Bacteria; Bacillati; Bacillota; Clostridia; Eubacteriales; Clostridiaceae.